Molecule: transfer RNA, 72 nt
Filed under: Lachnospiraceae bacterium KM106-2
Lineage: Bacteria; Bacillati; Bacillota; Clostridia; Lachnospirales; Lachnospiraceae
Rfam family: tRNA
About the family: Transfer RNA (tRNA) molecules are approximately 80 nucleotides in length. Their secondary structure includes four short double-helical elements and three loops (D, anti-codon, and T loops).
Source: Rfam by way of RNAcentral
GCAUCUAUAGCUCAGUGGAUAGAGCGCCGGCCUCCGGAGCCGGGUGCGUGGGUUCGACUCCCAUUAGAUGCA